RNAcentral lists this ribosomal RNA (397 nucleotides) under uncultured archaeon. Its description in RNAcentral is "bacterial SSU rRNA". It matches the Rfam family "Archaeal small subunit ribosomal RNA", at positions 604 to 997 of the family's 1478-position model. The record is from RNAcentral.
AGAGGUAAGACGGUACUACAGGGGUAGGAGUGAAAUCUUGUAAUCCCUGUGGGACCACCUGUGGCGAAGGCGUCUUACCAGAACGGGUUCGACGGUGAGGGACGAAAGCUGGGGGCACGAACCGGAUUAGAUACCCGGGUAGUCCCAGCCGUAAACGAUGCUCGCUAGGUGUCAGGCAUGGCGCGACCGUGUCUGGUGCCGCAGGGAAGCCGUGAAGCGAGCCACCUGGGAAGUACGGCCGCAAGGCUGAAACUUAAAGGAAUUGGCGGGGGAGCACAACAACGGGUGGAAGCCUGCGGUUUAAUUGGACUCAACGCCGGACAACUCGACCGGGGGCGACAGCAAUAUGUAGGCCAAGCUGAAGACUUUGCCUGAAUCGCUGAGAAGAGGUGCAUGG